Brassica oleracea var. oleracea is the source of this 3276-nucleotide RNA transcript. It is a transcript of the gene named pentatricopeptide repeat-containing protein At1g51965, mitochondrial, with no coding region annotated. The transcript has 4 exons. The record is from RefSeq and is a predicted model, not a curated record. NCBI's taxonomy places the organism in Eukaryota, Viridiplantae, Streptophyta, Magnoliopsida, Brassicales, Brassicaceae.
UCUACAUCGAGGCUUCUUACUCGAGAGAACUCGUUCCCUUCUCCGCCGCAAACAUGAGGCUUCUUCACCGCCGUUUCUUUAUCUUCACCGAUGGAAUUUUCGGAGCCAACAGGCGAGGAUACGCCACCAAUUAUGUUGCCAAGGUCACUUCAUCAUCUCCCUCCGGGCGAUCUCUCUCCGCCGAAGUUUCCCUUCCUAAUCCCCUCCCCUCCGACAUACGCGGCUACCCUCUCCCUCGCCGUCACCUCAUCUGCCGAGCAACCAAUCUCCUUCUCCGCCACGAAACCUCUUCCGAUCCCUUCUCCGAGCUCUCCGAUUACCUCUCUUCCCUCUCACUCUCCCUAACUCCCGACGAAGCUUCAGAGAUUCUCAAAUCCCUAAACUGCCCUCGCCUGGCCGUCGAUUUCUUCCACUUCGUCCCCUCCGUGUGCCCUAGCUCUCACCACGACCCGUUCCUCUACAACCGCAUCAUCUUGAUCCUCUCCAAGUCUAACCUCCCCGACAGAUUCGAUCGCGUCCGUUCGAUUCUCGAUCUGAUGGUGAAGUCUAACGUACGUGGCAACAUCUCCACCGUUAAUAUCUUAAUAGGUUUCUUCGGGAACGCGGAAGAUUUAGAAAUGUGCUUAGGGCUGGUGAAGAAAUGGGAGUUAAAGAUGAACUCUUUCACAUACAAGUGUCUCCUUCAAGCUUACUUAAGGUCUCGUGAUUCUUCGAAAGCAUUCGAUGUGUACUGCGAGAUUAGAAGAGGAGGGCAUAAGCUCGACGUCUUCGCUUACAAUAUGUUGCUUGAUGCUUUAGCUAAAGAUGAAAAGAUUGAUCAGGCAUGCCAAGUUUUCGAAGACAUGAUGAGAAAGCAUUGUAGAGGAGAUGAGUAUUCCUACACGAUUAUGAUCAGGACAAUGGGAAGAAUUGGGAAGUACAAUAAAGCUGUUGAUCUAUUCAAUGAGAUGAUAACUGAAGGGCUUACUCUCAACGUGGUUGGUUACAAUACUCUUAUGCAAGUUCUCGCAAAAGGAAAGAUGGUUGAUAAGGCUAUUCAGGUUUUCUCCAAGAUGGUUGAAACGGGUUGUCGUCCCAACGAGUAUACGUACAGUCUGGUUUUGAAUCUUUUAGUAGCUGUAGGUCAGCUUGUGAAGUUAGAUGGGAUUGUGGAGAUGUCCAAGAGGUAUAUGACUCAGGGGAUAUAUUCUUAUUUGGUUAGAACGCUGAGUAAACUAGGGCAUGUGAGUGAGGCUCACCGGCUGUUUUGUGAUAUGUGGAGCUUCCCUGUGAAAGGACAGAGGGAUAGUUACAUGUCGAUGCUUGAGAGUUUAUGCGGUGCGGGUAAAACAGUUGAAGCUAUAGAGAUGUUGAGCAAGAUCCAUGAGAAAGGUGUGGUUACGGAUACCAUGAUGUACAACACCGUGUUCUCUGCGCUUGGGAAGCAAAAGCAAGUAUCUCAUAUUCAUGAUCUCUUCGAGAAAAUGAAAAAAGAUGGUCCGUGUCCAGACAUAUUCACGUAUAAUAUACUCAUCUCUAGUUUUGGUCGUGUGGGAGAAGUUGAUGAAGCUAUCAAAAUCUUCGAGGAGCUUGAGAGUAGUGACUGUAAACCGGACAUUGUUUCGUACAACUCUUUGAUUAAUUGCUUGGGGAAGAACGGUGAUGUUGAUGAAGCUCACCUGAGGUUCAAGGAGAUGCAGGAGAGAGGAUUAAACCCUGAUGUGGUCACAUACAGCACUCUGAUGGAAUGCUUUGGGAAGACGGAGAGAGUCGAAAUGGCGUAUAGAUUGUUCGAAGAGAUGCUUGUUAAAGGGUGUCAACCGAACAUUGUGACGUACAACAUAUUACUUGAUUGUCUAGAGAAGAGUGGAAGAACCGCUGAAGCAGUUGAUAUGUACACGAGGAUGAAACAGCAAGGACUCACACCUGAUUCCAUUACUUACAGUGUUCUUGAACGGUUGCAGUCUGGCUCUCAUGGAAAGUCACGGAUUCGUAGGAAGAAUCCGAUAACAGGUUGGGUGGUCAGUCCUCUGUAGCCACGUGAAGUAGUGAAACAAGGUUUUGAGAAAGAUACUUGGCUGGAGAAUGAAAACUCCAGAUUUUAUUGAGGCUUUUUCAGUGAACUCUGUACAAACACCGUCUUCUCCGUAGUGUGAUGAUCAGGUGUGUGUUCUACUUGGUUCUCCGAGCUCUUGAUACUAUCUUUUCAGAUUUGGACAUAAAUCACAACUAGACAGAAAGAAUGGCUAAUGAUAUGGUUAGGUGGUACAUGGAUGAUGAUGAUGAUGAGGACGAUGUGCUUAAGCCAGAGAGAUUACUUCAAAGAACAGAUCGAGGUGCUGGAUGGCAUCAUGUUCAGCAGUUUAUGCACGGGUCAGAUGAUGAUCGAUACUGGCCAUUUUUUAAAGAUUGUAUUGGAGCAUUGGAUGGAACUCAUAUCUCAGUUCGCCCACCGAAGCGAAAUGCCGAAGCAUACAGGGGUAGAAAACAGGAGCCGACCAUGAAUGUCCUUGCUAUAUGUAACUUUGAUAUGAAGUUCAUAUAUGCUUUUGUGGGUGUCCCGGGUAGAGCACAUGACACAAAGGUAUUGACUUAUUGUGCGAGGAAUGAGCCCUUUUUUCCACAUCCUCCAAAUGGAAAGUAUUAUUUGGUUGAUGCUGGAUAUCCCACAAGAACAGGGUAUCUUGGUCCGUAUCGUAGAGUUCGGUAUCAUCUCGAUCAGUUCAACAGAGGAGGACCGCCAACGAACACUCGAGAGGUGUUCAACCGGAGACAUUCAAGCAUGCGAUCUGUGAUUGAGCGGACAUUUGGAGUGUGGAAAGCAAAAUGGAGAAUUCUUGACCGUAGGCAUCCAAAGUAUGGUUUGAUCAAAUGGAUAAAGCUAGUAACAUCAACGAUGACUCUACACAACUUCAUACGUGAUUCACAUCGAGAAGAUAAUGAUUUUGUGCGUUGGCAAAGAAGAGAAGAAUAUCAUACACAUGGUGAUGAUGAUGAUGAUGAAAAUGAAGAUGAAGAAGAAAAAGAAGAAGAUGGUGAUGGUCAUGGUGGACAUAUUCCAUAUGAGCCGACUGGUGAUAGAGCCAUGGAAGGUUUACGUGAUCAUAUUGGUAAUGAGUUGAGUAGAGGAUAUCGAUUACCUUACUAGAUUAUUUGAUUUGAGUUUAUACUGAUUUUUAUUAUUAGUUACUCGUAUGACCACUUUCCCUAUUGUUUAAAUAGAAAUCUUUGUAACAAUUGUGAGAGAAUUUCUGAUUUAGACCAGGGAUUUUCUUAAUAAGGAAACUCUUAUAAUAA